RNAcentral lists this ribosomal RNA (443 nucleotides) under uncultured bacterium. RNAcentral's name for it is "partial 16S ribosomal RNA". It matches the Rfam family "Bacterial small subunit ribosomal RNA", at positions 338 to 795 of the family's 1533-position model. The record is from RNAcentral.
CCUACGGGUGGCAGCAGUGGGGAAUAUUGGGCAAUGGGCGCAAGCCUGACCCAGCAACGCCGCGUGAAGGAAGAAGGCUUUCGGGUUGUAAACCUCUUUUAUCAGGGACGAAGCAAGUGACGGUACCUGAUGAAUAAGCCACGGCUAACUACGUGCCAGCAGCCGCGGUAAGACGUAGGUGGCAAGCGUUAUCCGGAUUUACUGGGUGUAAAGGGCGUGUAGGCGGGAAAGCAAGUCAGAUGUGAAAACCCUGGGCUCAACCUGUGGCCUGCAUUUGAAACUGUUUUUCUGGAGUACUGGAGAGGCAGACGGAAUUCCUAGUGUAGCGGUGAAAUGCGUAGAUAUUAGGAGGAACACCAGUGGCGAAGGCGGUCUGCUGGACAGCAACUGACGCUGAGGCGCGAAGGCGUGGGGAGCAAACAGGAUUAGAUACCCUGGUAGUC